AAUAGAUACCCGGGGUAGUCCACGCCGUAAAACGAUGAGUGCUAAGUGUUAGAGGGUUUCCGCCCUUUAGUGCUGCAGCUAACGCAUUAAGCACUCCGCCUGGGGAGUACGGCCGCAAGGCUGAAACUCAAAGGGAUUGACGGGGGCCCGCACAAGCGGUGGAGCAUGUGGUUUAAUUCGAAGCAACGCGAAGAACCUUACCAGGUCUUGACAUCCUCUGCCAACCCUAGAGAUAGGGUGUUCCCCUUCGGGGGACAGAGUGACAGGUGGUGCAUGAUUGUCGUCAGCUCGUGUCGUGAGAUGUUGGGUUAAGUCCCGCAACGAGCGCAACCCUUGAUCUUAAGUUGCCAGCAUUUAGUUGGGCACUCUAAGGUGACUGCCGGUGACAAACCGGAGGAAGUGGGGAUGACGUCAAAUCAUCAUGCCCCUUAUGACCUGGGCUACACACGUGCUACAAUGGAUGGUACAAAGAGCUGCGAACCCGCGAGGGUAAGCCAAUCUCAUAAAAGCCAUUCUCAGUUCGGA
This 525-nucleotide ribosomal RNA is filed under the name uncultured bacterium. Its description in RNAcentral is "bacterial SSU rRNA". It matches the Rfam family "Bacterial small subunit ribosomal RNA", at positions 777 to 1297 of the family's 1533-position model. The record is from RNAcentral.